This 339-nucleotide unclassified non-coding RNA is filed under the name soil metagenome. Its description in RNAcentral is "partial contains 5.8S ribosomal RNA, internal transcribed spacer 2, and large subunit ribosomal RNA". The stretch from base 1 to 120 matches the Rfam family "5.8S ribosomal RNA", at positions 35 to 154 of the family's 154-position model. The record is from RNAcentral.
GAUGAAGAACGUAGCGAAAUGCGAUAAGUAGUGUGAAUUGCAGAAUUCAGUGAAUCAUCGAAUCUUUGAACGCACAUUGCGCCCUUUGGUAUUCCUUAGGGCAUGCCUGUUCGAGCGUCAUUUAAACCUUCAAGCUCAGCUUGGUGUUGGGUGACUGUCCGCCGCCUCCGGGCGGUCGGACUCGCCUCAAAUUGAUUGGCGGCCGGUACUUUGGCUUCGAGCGCAGCAGAAACGCGAACUCGAGGCCGCCGUCCUGGCUCCCAGAAGCUAUCUUCACAAUUUUGACCUCGGAUCAGGUAGGGAUACCCGCUGAACUUAAGCAUAUCAAUAAGCGGAGGA